AUUUAAGUAAUUUAAAUAGAAUGUUGAUUUGUGGAAUCAAAAGUGUAAGUAUUACCUUAAAUA
RNAcentral lists this transfer RNA (63 nucleotides) under Paromalus flavicornis. Its description in RNAcentral is "tRNA-His". The record is from RNAcentral. Lineage: Eukaryota; Metazoa; Arthropoda; Insecta; Coleoptera; Histeridae.